CGGGGCGUGGCGCAGUCUGGUAGCGCACUACACUGGGGGUGUAGUGGUCGCUGGUUCAAAUCCAGCCGUCCCGACCA
Molecule: transfer RNA, 77 nt
Filed under: Gammaproteobacteria bacterium
Lineage: Bacteria; Pseudomonadati; Pseudomonadota; Gammaproteobacteria
Description: tRNA-Pro
Rfam family: tRNA
About the family: Transfer RNA (tRNA) molecules are approximately 80 nucleotides in length. Their secondary structure includes four short double-helical elements and three loops (D, anti-codon, and T loops).
Source: RNAcentral